AGAAUCAACGCUGGCGGCGUGCCUAACACAUGCAAGUCGCACGAGAAAGGGUAGCAAUACCUGAGUACAGUGGCGCACGGGUGAGUAACACGUGAAUAAUCUACCUCCGAGUGGGGAAUAACUGAGAGAAAUCUUAGCUAAUACCGCAUAAUACCCACGGGUCAAAGCAGCAAUGCGCUUGGAGAGGAGUUCGCGGCAGAUUAGUUAGUUGGCGGGGUAAUGGCCCACCAAGACGAUGAUCUGUAUCCGGCCUGAGAGGGCGCACGGACACACUGGAACUGAAACACGGUCCAGACUCCUACGGGAGGCAGCAGUGGGGAAUUUUGCGCAAUGGGGGAAACCCUGACGCAGCAACGCCGCGUGGAGGAUGAAGCCCCUUGGGGUGUAAACUCCUUCGAUCGGGAAGAUAAUGACGGUACCGAUAUAAGAAGCCCGGCUAACUUCGUGCCAGCAGCCGC
This 458-nucleotide ribosomal RNA is filed under the name uncultured bacterium. RNAcentral describes it as "SSU rRNA". It matches the Rfam family "Bacterial small subunit ribosomal RNA", at positions 26 to 518 of the family's 1533-position model. The record is from RNAcentral.